This 53-nucleotide ribosomal RNA is filed under the name Bibersteinia trehalosi. The record is from RNAcentral. Lineage: Bacteria; Pseudomonadati; Pseudomonadota; Gammaproteobacteria; Pasteurellales; Pasteurellaceae.
UAACGCCGAUGGUAGUGUGGGGUUUCCCCAUGUGAGAGUAGGGCAACAUCAGG